UAAGGCGAGCUCAGGGAGGACAAACCUUCCGUGGAGCAGAAUAGCAAAAGCCCGUUUGAUUUUGAUUUUCAGUAUGAAUACGUACGGUCUGUGAAAGCAG
This 100-nucleotide non-coding RNA is filed under the name Papio anubis (olive baboon). RNAcentral describes it as "Eukaryotic large subunit ribosomal RNA". It matches the Rfam family "Eukaryotic large subunit ribosomal RNA", at positions 2664 to 2761 of the family's 3401-position model. Lineage: Eukaryota; Metazoa; Chordata; Mammalia; Primates; Cercopithecidae. The record is from Rfam by way of RNAcentral.